Molecule: long non-coding RNA, 1720 nt
Organism: Coturnix japonica (Japanese quail)
Lineage: Eukaryota; Metazoa; Chordata; Aves; Galliformes; Phasianidae
Source: Ensembl
UUAAUAAGGAUAAAGGGAGACUUUGGAGAAAUCCAAUAAUACAGCACAUGUGAUAACGGCCCACUGGAAGGGCUCUGGGGAGGGAGUGCAAUUUCACAACGGAGGCUGCUGCACGUCCCUUUGUGCACACCUUGCUUUGCCUGCUGGGAAUGCAUUUCUGAGCUGGGUAAACACAACCAAAGCAACCACAGCAACAAGACCCUGCUCAUUAGUGCCUGUCAGUCUGCUCCUCUUUAUUUCCUGAAGAAUACUGUCCUUUCAGGUGAUGCCUGCAACAUUCCCAGAUCUUCCCAUUGGCGCCAACCAGUGAAAAAUGCCCUUACACCAAAACAAAUUCAGGCUGAGAUUUUUCAGAGAGAUGAAUGAAUGUUCAUCAGACAAACUCUCAUUCAUCUGAUCCCAAGGAAGUUCUUAAUGAGAAAGGAGAAAAAAAUAAGAGUUCCAACACAGGUUUCUACAGGGGGGAGCCACAUGGGGAGAAAAGCAUGGGGGAAGGAGGGGAGAACCCAGGGAGCCCCCGGCUGCUGCUGCCCAGCUGUUCCAUGCUUGGGACUGGGGCUGCAGGACGCUCCCCAUAGCGCAGUGCUGCUGUUUUCUGCCUGCAGCUACGAGGGAGCAGAGCUCGGCAGGAAACUGGCAAUCAGAAGGUCUACAAGUGGAAGUGGUGAUGCCGUGCCACUCCAAGCUGUGCUGCACAGCCCCAGGCACUGGUCUUCCUAAAGGAAAUGCAAUGAGUUUCCAGGACCAAACUCCAACUGCUCCUACAAAGAUGCAUUUUCACACUGAGGUCUGAUUAUCUUCAGCACGUGCCACAGCAAACACCUCACCCAGUCCCUCAGUGUGACAGAGGCAUCGAUUGGUUUUCCAAUUCCUGCUUUGCCUGGGGCAGGAGGCAGCACGUGUGUUAGAGCAGUGUGAGCGAGCGUUUCACACAAUGCCACCCCAAACAGAACUUUGAUAUGCUAAGCAAAUAUUGGACUUUAUUGGUUUAAUUUAAUUAAAAUUUAUUAACCUUUUACUAAACACAAACCCUCAUUAAAAUUCUUAUUCCUGUCUCCUACAUCAGCAUAGUCAUAUUCUCAUUUCCAACCUUAUUAAAUAUCACCCAAAGAGAGCCUAUUUCUGCAGCACUGAUUGUUGAUAAACUGCAAUAUUAACCCAGGCAUGUCCCAGAGACUUUGGAAGAAAUGAAAACCAAACAUGACCAGACACAGUUGUUUGAAAGGAUGGUGCCCCCCAAGCCACCAGCCCACUCCCCUCUCAAUGGUCCCGUUUUCCAACUUUCCAACACAACAAUGGGGCAGGAAGCACAGAAGUACAUAGGAAACAUCUUGGGCUGGUUCCAAUCUGUUGUCUCCUCCUCACAAGCUGCUGGGGAUGCAUUUCAGACGCCUUCAUCCAAACUCAGCAGAACGAUCCCCUGGAAAAGAUGGGUUUGGUGACCCCACCUGGGGGUGUGUAUAUCACUUGUGGCUUCAUCCCACUUCUGUUAAUAAGUUUAAAAGUUGCUGCUUGCAUGUGCCAAGUUUACAAAAUCAUUACCUGCUCUAUAUUAAGUGUUUAAUUGCAUAAAAUGACAUCAUGUUUAUCUCUGCAACAUUAGCAUCUAGUCAGCAGUGUCAAAGCAGUAAACAUGCUUGAUAUCAUCAGUCAUUGUGUGGACUUAAAAUCAAUUGCUCUUGCUGCACCCUCUUGUACAGAGAGGAGCACAAUACAUUAA